Molecule: ribosomal RNA, 477 nt
Filed under: uncultured organism
Description: partial 16S ribosomal RNA
Rfam family: Bacterial small subunit ribosomal RNA
Source: RNAcentral
UAACUCCUACGGGAGGCAGCAGUGGGGAAUUUUGGACAAUGGGCGAAAGCCUGAUCCAGCCAUGCCGCGUGCAGGAUGAAGGCCUUCGGGUUGUAAACUGCUUUUGUACGGAACGAAACGGCCUUUUCUAAUAAAGAGGGCUAAUGACGGUACCGUAAGAAUAAGCACCGGCUAACUACGUGCCAGCAGCCGCGGUAAUACGUAGGGUGCAAGCGUUAAUCGGAAUUACUGGGCGUAAAGCGUGCGCAGGCGGUUAUGUAAGACAGUUGUGAAAUCCCCGGGCUCAACCUGGGAACUGCAUCUGUGACUGCAUAGCUAGAGUACGGUAGAGGGGGAUGGAAUUCCGCGUGUAGCAGUGAAAUGCGUAGAUAUGCGGAGGAACACCGAUGGCGAAGGCAAUCCCCUGGACCUGUACUGACGCUCAUGCACGAAAGCGUGGGGAGCAAACAGGAUUAGAUACCCUAGUAGUCCCAUGAU